This 524-nucleotide ribosomal RNA is filed under the name Ornithodoros tholozani. RNAcentral describes it as "SSU rRNA". It matches the Rfam family "Eukaryotic small subunit ribosomal RNA", at positions 828 to 1350 of the family's 1831-position model. Lineage: Eukaryota; Metazoa; Arthropoda; Arachnida; Ixodida; Argasidae. The record is from RNAcentral.
UCCCGUNUCUGUUCUGUUGGUUUUUGGAAAACGAGAUAAUGAUCGAGAGGGACAGACGGGGGCAUUCGUAUUGCGGCGCUAGAGGUGAAAUUCUUGGACCGUCGCAAGACGAACUACUGCGAAAGCAUUUGCCAAGAAUGUUUUCAUUGAUCAAGAACGAAAGUCAGAGGUUCGAAGGCGAUCAGAUACCGCCCUAGUUCUGACCAUAAACGAUGCCAACCAGCAAUCCGCCUGAGUUACUCAAAUGACUCGGCGGGCAGCUUCCGGGAAACCAAAGUAUUUGGGUUCCGGGGGAAGUAUGGUUGCAAAGCUGAAACUUAAAGGAAUUGACGGAAGGGCACCACCAGGAGUGGAGCCUGCGGCUUAAUUUGACUCAACACGGGAAAACUUACCCGGCCCGGACACUGGAAGGAUNGACAGAUUGAGAGCUCUUUCUUGAUUCGGUGGAUGGUGGUGCAUGGCCGUUCUUAGUUGGUGGAGCGAUUUGUCUGGUUAAUUCCGAUAACGAACGAGACUCCAGCCUA